GAAAUGCGAUACGUAAUGCGAAUUGCACAACCGCGAGUCAUCAAAUCUUUGAACGCAAAUGGCGACAGCGCAAGCUGUCAUGUUCGUUUCAGUGUAUUUGGUUACCAACAUCACAUAUCCAAAUGCGAUUGAAGAAAUUCUCUCGCCAAAUAUGGAGUCGCUUGGUGCCGACCAUUAAACGAAGUAGUCACUAAAUUAAGUGAUGUCGUAUUAAUUGGUUGAACACCUAUAAGAGCGAUUCAUCAAAUACAUAUCCUCAAUACGAUACCUGAAAUGAGCAAGAUUACCCGCUGAACUUAA
This 300-nucleotide unclassified non-coding RNA is filed under the name uncultured fungus. Its description in RNAcentral is "sequence contains ITS1". The stretch from base 1 to 97 matches the Rfam family "5.8S ribosomal RNA", at positions 50 to 154 of the family's 154-position model. The record is from RNAcentral. Lineage: Eukaryota; Fungi.